This 73-nucleotide transfer RNA is filed under the name Bos taurus (domestic cattle). It matches the Rfam family "tRNA". Rfam says of the family: Transfer RNA (tRNA) molecules are approximately 80 nucleotides in length. Their secondary structure includes four short double-helical elements and three loops (D, anti-codon, and T loops). Lineage: Eukaryota; Metazoa; Chordata; Mammalia; Artiodactyla; Bovidae. The record is from Rfam by way of RNAcentral. RNAcentral also lists the same sequence under 5 other names.
CCCCUGAUGGUUCAGUGGUUAAGACUCCAUGCUUCCAAUGCAGGGAGCCCAGGUUUGAUCCCUGGUUGGGGCA